RNAcentral lists this transfer RNA (72 nucleotides) under Camelus bactrianus (Bactrian camel). It matches the Rfam family "tRNA". Rfam says of the family: Transfer RNA (tRNA) molecules are approximately 80 nucleotides in length. RNAcentral also lists the same sequence under 2 other names. The record is from Rfam by way of RNAcentral. Lineage: Eukaryota; Metazoa; Chordata; Mammalia; Artiodactyla; Camelidae.
GAGAGUAUAAUUCAGUGGUAGAGUGUGUGCUUAGCAUACACAGGGUCCUGGGUUCAAUUCCCAGCAUCUCCA